RNAcentral lists this ribosomal RNA (238 nucleotides) under uncultured bacterium. Its description in RNAcentral is "partial 16S ribosomal RNA". It matches the Rfam family "Bacterial small subunit ribosomal RNA", at positions 118 to 354 of the family's 1533-position model. The record is from RNAcentral.
UGGGCAACCUGCCGUAUACAGGGGAAUAAUCAUUGGAAACGAUGACUAAUACCGCAUGUCACCAUUGGGAGGCAUCUCGCGAUGGGAAAAGGAGGAAUCCGGUAUACGAUGGGCCCGCAUCUGAUUAGCUAGUUGGUGAGAUAAUAGCUCACCAAGGCGACGAUCAGUAGCCGACCUGAGAGGGUGAUCGGCCACAUUGGGACUGAGACACGGCCCAAACUCCUACGGAAGGCAGCAG